GAUGAACGCUGGCUACAGGCUUAACACAUGCAAGUCGAGGGGAAACGCCGGGGAAGCUUGCUUCCCCGGGCGUCGACCGGCGCACGGGUGAGUAACGCGUAUCCAACCUGCCUCUGACUGAGGGAUAACCCGUCGAAAGUCGGCCUAAUACCUCAUGGUAUCGUCUGCGGGCAUCCAACGACGAUUAAAGAUUUCAUCGGUCAGGGAUGGGGAUGCGUCUGAUUAGCUUGUUGGCGGGGUAACGGCCCACCAAGGCUACGAUCAGUAGGGGUUCUGAGAGGAAGGUCCCCCACAUUGGAACUGAGACACGGUCCAAACUCCUACGGGAGGCAGCAGUGAGGAAGAUUGGUCAAUGGGCGAGAGCCUGAACCAGCCAAGUAGCGUGCAGGAAGACGGCCCUAUGGGUUGUAAACUGCUUUUAUGCGGGGAUAAAGUGAGGGACGUGUCCCUCAUUGCAGGUACCGCAUGAAUAAGGACCGGCUAAUUCCGUG
RNAcentral lists this ribosomal RNA (491 nucleotides) under uncultured bacterium. RNAcentral describes it as "partial 16S ribosomal RNA". It matches the Rfam family "Bacterial small subunit ribosomal RNA", at positions 28 to 507 of the family's 1533-position model. The record is from RNAcentral.